Aedes albopictus (Asian tiger mosquito) is the source of this 427-nucleotide long non-coding RNA. RefSeq lists it as uncharacterized. Lineage: Eukaryota; Metazoa; Arthropoda; Insecta; Diptera; Culicidae. The record is from RefSeq and is a predicted model, not a curated record. The transcript has 3 exons.
AAGGCAGAGUGGAGAGAUGAAAAUUGUUUAUUCUUUCCCAUGUGAUGAGUAAAGCACCUGUUUGCUAAUCUAUGUGCAUAAUUAACUUGCCGAUAUUAAUACCUUUUCGAUACUUAAUAGUUACGCGUAGCAGCCUGCAUUGAAGUGCUUGAACUAUAAACUUACAGGCUAAGUGUAACCACGAAGGUUCGGACAGAAUUCUAACCCCUCUAAUUCUGUUAUCAUUAGUAAUAUAGAGUAAACCGGUCAUCACCUUACUGAAGACGGUAUUGAAUAUUUGUUGAGCUAGAUUGGAACUAAAAGGACCAGUUUGUAAGUAGAUCGAACGUUGAAAUGAGAUUCUCAAACUAAUAAAAUCUUCCCAUAGCUUUAAGAAUUCAGCACAGUAACCCCUGGUGCGAUUCUAUAUCGAAGUCCGAAGCUUCUA